GUCCUGGUUGUAUGUCCUUCUGAUGUCAGGGACACUCUUGCUUUAUUUCAAUCCUUUCCCUUCAGAGAUGGCUACCACAGAACCUUUUGCUUCAUUGAUUAGUCACACUUCCAAAGAGAUCUGCCUAGCAGGAAUCCUGCUUUGAGGUCUACAGCAUCAAGAAUGUAAAUGUACAUAGUAUGGCUCUCCUUUUGGUCAAACAACAGCUCGUGCCUGAUACAUGAUGGGAACCAAAAAGUGGACUCUCAUACAAUCAGUGGCUCUUGAUUUGGUCACUUUUGCUACAUGGAGGCAUCAAAUUUUAUUCUUUUCUUUUUGGUUUAGAAUUCAUGAGGGUUUCUGGGAUAAACCACAGCUAAAGCAUAGACAUAGCCUUGUUUUUAUCAUUAAUGUUCUCUCUUCGUUCAUUCACUGAAUAUUUUAUUCAGUACUGACUUAGGAGUAUCUAUACAGUGAGAUUUAAUGAAGAGACUACAAAUCCUUAAUGGAAAAAGUAUAUAUAGAAAAAGCAAAAGGAAAUAUUUUACCAUUAACCUUUACUCAAGAAUUUCAAUGAACUUUGCCAUCACUUAUUAUUUCAGAUAUGGAUAACCCUUAUUGAAACUGUUCAGGAUGACUUUCAAUGUACAAAUGGGAAAAGCUUAAACACUAAAAGUUAUAUAAGAAUAUUAAAUAAAGCUCAAGGUUUCUUCCUUCCAGUUUUUUUCUGCAGAAAUGGUAAAAUAUCCUUCUUUACUAUUAAAUGCAAGAUUAAAGUAAAUGGACACAUUAUGCCCAGAGAUGCUCUUUUCACUCAGCAAUGUUCUUUUUGCUACUGCAGACCACACAAAAGCUCUGAAAAAGGUAAUGUUAAAUAUGCUGCCAGUGGUUUCCAUUGAGAGAAGAGCUGAGGUGAAAGGAGAAUUCCAUUUCACUUAUGGCAAAAAUUAGGCAGCCUGGAAGCAAUGAGAGUUAACCAAAAAACUGACCAGCUGGAGACCAGAGCCCUUCCACCCCAUAGUAACUCUGCCAGAAAGAGCAAAUCCUAUCAGCUGGAAAUAAACCUGAGUUCUUGAAGCAGGAAAUAUGGACCCUUACAGGAAAGAAGAUGGGGAGGAUGUUUUAAAAUGUGCUCAGAAGGAGUUGGCAUAAGAGGCGAAGGUUCACUUGUACAAAGCAGAAAGAAACAGAAAUAACAUGGUCAGAAUCUCUACAAAAAUCGUGCUAUUAGAAAUCAUCAAAGCAGCCAAACUUUGUUUUGGGAAGAAACUGGGAAGAAGACUAACGUCUUAAAGGAUAUGGGAGAAAGACUCUUUGUGGAAUGUAAUUCAUUCUGGUCCUUAGUGGCCAGUUUGGGAAUUAAAAAAAAAAGAAUUUGUAAACUUAAAAACCAAUUUUUCCCAGCAUUUUUUUCUUAACCUUUGUAAACCUCUUUUAAAGACUGACAAAAAAAAUAUUCAGUCACUCUUGCAGCCAGGAAUUUUUGAAAUUACUUAUCACAAUGUUGAAAUACAGUAUAUUCAUGAGCUCAGAGUUAAAUACAAAUAAGAUGUUUGUGGACCAGUUUGUGUAUCACUUUGGUUGCCAAAGCCAAUUUCCCCGAAACAUUUAGGUAUGUAACUACACGUUGUGUAAUUGGAAGAUACCACCUCUCUCUCUGAGUUGGGCUAAAUUCAGGAAAAAUAGAAGAAAAUUAAGAAAUUCCAAGAGACUGAGAAGGGUGAUGCCAGUCCCUUAGAUACUUAUGUGACCUCAUGAAAGUGAAUUUUGUCUUCUUAUUUACCAAAUCUAAACCCAGGACAAAUUGGCCCAGAACCAACUGAUUAACUAAUGCUGAUUUGUACUUGAAUUUACAAAUUGCAAUCAUCGGAAGGAAACUUCAACAAUUUUAUAAGAUCUGGAAAUCAUCUGAGGUGGACUUUUUCUACACAGUUAAGGAUUAAGAAAUGAGCCACAUACAGGGAAGAAGCAAUCCUUUCUUCUUUGGGCAGACUGGAACAGUGGGGAGAGGGGCCAACUUUGGUAUCAGGAAGACCUGGGCUCCAGUACUGCUUCUGACACAUACAGGCUUUGUUACUCUGGACACAACUUGUGGCACUUGGCAGCACUCAUAAGCCUGAGAAGAGAAGAAAGCAUAAGAGAUAAUGUGGCAGGUCUACGUGCAGGAGGGACUUCAGGGAGUUGAGGUGAUUAUCCAGGGGGCUCCUGUCACCUUGUCCUGAAACCCACAAAGAAGAGCCAUAAAGGAAACUGGUGGAAUGCUUAGAGCAGAAGGUUGGAGGGGAAGGGCUUCCAACAUGAUGUCCCAAGCUGUGGCAGAAACCCAAGAACCAAAAAGAAAAGGUCAAAUUGAGAAAGAAAGAAAAAACUUCCCUCACUUUAUAUGAAUGAAGAGAAAGCAAGAAGUGAAGAAAAGUAAAAGUGGAACUCUUGCAAUUAAAAUAAUCUCCCUCCUUUACCGCUCCAAGGAGUCAGAAAUACCGAGAAACCUGUUGCUGAGAUCCCAUCUACUGACUUUUGUGGAGAGCUAUGCAUCAGUUCCAUAGAGGUGAUCAAGACAGGGUGAGGGAGUAAAACGUGUGGCCUUCCGCUUCUGGCUACAACAGAAGGUUGCAGGUGGUGGGCGUGAAGAGAUGGGAGAGAGACAAUUUCCAGGGAGUUGAGUUUCUGCAAAAUCGGACUGUGGCAUACCCCGAACCAUCGAAUAUUUCAUAUCGUGCCCCAAGGAACACGUGGCCAUGGCCCUGGGCUAGUUUUUGGCGAAUAGGAAGGGCAGUUUUUCUCUAAUUCAUCUCAAUGAAACCUCAAGACUUUUUAUUCCGGAGAAUGACUGGAAAGGAGGGUGGGGGGUGGGAGAGUAGGUAACCUGCUCAACUAUAAGAAUAUUUUCUGUGUCCUCUUAAUCUUGGCAUUAUAAAAUAAAUUUAAUUCCUCGUGUU
Non-coding RNA from Monodelphis domestica (gray short-tailed opossum), 2918 nucleotides. The record is from RefSeq and is a predicted model, not a curated record. NCBI's taxonomy places the organism in Eukaryota, Metazoa, Chordata, Mammalia, Didelphimorphia, Didelphidae.